Molecule: long non-coding RNA, 1273 nt
Organism: Penaeus chinensis
Lineage: Eukaryota; Metazoa; Arthropoda; Malacostraca; Decapoda; Penaeidae
Exons: 2
Source: RefSeq, a predicted model, not a curated record
GAAAGUUAAGAAAACAAAAACAACAGUUAAGUUUGACCGACGGCGAGCUGCUCUUGACGAUGACGAUGAUUGGUAAACUGUCGUCAUGAGAAGGAAUCAAAAGAAGAAAUCCCAGACUUAAGCCAUGAAGCACACUUUUUUGCCUACAUUUACACUCCGCUUUCUAGAUUCUUUCGGAAACAUAUUUUUUUUCAUCUAUUUCUUACAGUUUCCUUUCUCUUGAAAUAUAGGAUUUGACUGUUUUUAUUAUUUGUUUUUUGUGGGUGUGAACUAGAGAAAAUGUUUUCUGUUGUGCUUUUUGGUAACAAUCAAAUAAGAAAACUGCUUUUUCUCUGUAUUGAAAAAAAAAAAAAAAUUAUGAAAUUAUUUUUCAAAUCAUUACUGAUUUUCUCUCAAGGUUUUCUCUUUUGUUUGUUCUGUUAGUUUUGCUCAACUUUUUAAAGAAUUAUGAUGUUCAAGUUGGUUGUCUUUACUGGAUCUGAAGUCAUGGCAAACUGCAAUCUUUUGCUCUCAACACCACUUUUUAAUAUCUCACUUAUUUCUAAGAUCUGCUUUUUCCUGGUAAAAAAAUCAGUCGACAAUUUAAAAUGAUACCUGAUCAUAGUUUUUUUUUUCUAUGAAAGAGAUUGUUGGGGGUUUCGAAUAAAGUUUGCAGAAACCAAAGUAUUUUUUCACAAUCCCUGCCAAAUGUGUGAUCAGACUGAGUGAAUAACUUCAGUUGCACUUUUUACUAUGAUCCUCUACUAUGUAAGACUUGCGUCCUUUACACUAUGCAUAACCCAGGCUUGAAUAUUCAUGGCUUAAUUAAUAUAAAAUUACAAAUGUAACAGAUAGCAUUAAAGGACUCUGUAGGCACUAUGCAACCCAAUUUUAAUAUUUCAAGUAAAAUAAUUGUCAGCUUGUAUUCAUCCAAAGUGAGAUUAGGGUUGUUGUAAGUACUUGAUGUGUGGCCUUCGUAUUAAAAUCGACUAUGUGUCUACUCUAUGAGUAGCUUGCCUUGGAACAUUUUCACUUCUGUUGUUGGAAGACAAUACAUGACAAUGUAUUUUGCUAUUCAGAUUAAUGGAGGAGGGCAGAACAGUCUAGUUUUUAAUGAUAUUCUGUUAGGUGACAGUUAAUUGUAACCUUCAGAAGGUAAUUAACUAACUAGUCUCAUGUUAUAGUCACAACAAAGCUGUCUCAAUUGUAUUGAGUGGGUAUGUUUUGUACAAUUGUGUUAGUCAGUUUCUGUUCUGAUUGCUUAUACUUGUUUAUUAAUAAAGUCUAAAUUGCA